This 17890-nucleotide long non-coding RNA is filed under the name Vitis vinifera (wine grape). RNAcentral's name for it is "long non-coding RNA (VVIN_LNC007449)". The record is from RNAcentral. Lineage: Eukaryota; Viridiplantae; Streptophyta; Magnoliopsida; Vitales; Vitaceae.
CGGCAUUGAAAUACAAAAAGCCUGUGUAAGUGGAUUGAAGAACUCAUCCAUCUUACAAAUUAUGAAUUGAAUGGUUGGAAAGGUGACGAUAAUGGAUCCUCCAAGAUUGCUUCUCUUCCUUUAUCCCUUCCUCAUACUUCACCUUCUUGGUGUAACAGUCCUUGCUCAGACAGACUUCCUUUACCACGACUGCUCAGACAGUGUUGGUAAUUACACCGAUAACAGCACCUACGAGGCAAACCUCAACACCCUCCUCUCCUCUCUCUCUUCAAACAACGAAAUAGAUUAUGGCUUUUACAAUUUCUCCUACGGCCAAAACUCCGACAAAGUUAACGCAAUCGCACUUUGCAGAGGAGACGUAGUAACAGACGCGUGCCGGAGUUGUGUCAAUGACUCUAGGAUUCAACUCACUCAGCUCUGUCCCAACCAGAAGGAGGCAAUAGGAUGGUACGAUAAAUGUAUGUUGCGAUACUCCAAUAACUCCAUAUUCGGAACAGCCCAAACUUCGCUCUCCUUUUACAUGUGGAACCCUGAAAACGCCUCCAAUGUGGAAGAUUUCAAUCAGGUUCUGGGAAACCUGAUGGCCAGCCUCCGAAGCAAAGCUGCGUCCGGAGAUUCGCGUCACAAGUUCGCAACUGGAGAAGCAAAUGUUACGAGUUUCGUAACCAUAUAUGGGCUUAUGCAGUGCACUCCUGAUUUGUCCGAGGCGUCUUGCCGUGAUUGCUUAGAGGGGGCUACCAAUGAAAUUCCAAAUUGUUGUGAUAGCAAAAAAGGAGGGAGAGUUAUUAAACCCAGCUGUAAUUUGAGAUUUGAAACAUACCGUUUCUACGAGUUUACUGCAGCUAACGCGCCCCCACCAGCAGCAACACCCCCACCUUCUCCUCCCUCAGCUGAUCUUGCUCCACCGCCUUUGGCUAAUACCACCUCUACACAAGGUACGUAUCCCUAUCUCCAUGCUUGAAAUUUAAUUGAUUCCAUGAUUGAGUAGAUCCUUGAUUGUAAAAGUUAGGUAUUAAUUAUUCUCUAUCUCCAAGUUCUAAAUCUUAUUGAGUUUAUGAUUCGCUAUUCACAUUAAGCAAAAUGAUUCUACAAAGCGUAGCAAAUUGUUGUAGUUGUCACUUGCCCAGUCCUCAACCCUCAUUCAAGUCUUCUGUGAUCGUCUCGUUCUCCACGGGGUAGAAGAGAAGUCAUAGUUUUGCUUCCUGAUAGUCAAUGGAUCCUUAUGUGAAAAAGAAAAGAAAAGUAAUAUGUUGUAUUAUUCUUUACUAUUUCCGCUGAGAGAAAAUUAAGAAUUCAAUGAUUAAUGAAGGGAUCUCUAAAUAUGUGGGUUCUUCAGGAAAGAAAAGCAACACCUCCCGGACAGUGGUCCUAAUUGUUGUUCCCUCAGCUGUUAUUUCUGUAAUGCUCAUCACCUUCAUCUGCUGCUUUUUAAAAAGGAGGCAAUCAAGGGAAAGCGUUAGCAGUAAGUUAAACAUGCAUUAUCUUUUGUUGACUUUGCUUCUUGCAAUUGAAAUCAUCAUCAUCUCGAAAAAUGACAAGAGACAACUGUUCUCCAAUAACAAUUUAAAAAUAAAAGCACUUCUCUUAUUUUCAGCAAGAAUGAUGGGAAGACUUAUAUAUUAGUUUUUAAAGUCCACCUUUGGAUUAAAUUAAAGCUUAUGUUUGCAAGGGAAAAAAGAAGUCAUAUAUUUAUUCGGUUUCCAAAGCAAAAAAAGAAAUGCUGAAAAUCUUCUCAAAUUCUUCAAAAACAGUAGACUUCCUUUCCCACUUUCGAAUGAGAUUCACAAAGUCAUUUCAACCAUUCGUUCCAUCUUUCAUGAUUUUUUUAUUUUUUAUUUUUUUUAUGUAUAAUUUUAAAUUUUUAAUAAUAAAAUUACAUCUAAGAACUUAAUUUUAAAACAUGAAUUUUUUAAUUUACUUUUUCCCCUCUUACAAAAUAUAUAUAUAUCUUAAAUAUAUUCAUAAAAUCAUUCUAUCUUGAUUGUUGCAUGAUACAUUACAUAAAAUAACUCCAAAAAAUUUAAAAAAAAUACGAAAUCAUAAUUGUAAAGUAUACCACCACUAAUGUGGGCAAAUGGGAUAAAAAGAUUUUAAAUUAAAAAUAAGUUAAUUAUUUUAACUUAAUUCUUAAAGUUAAAAAUAAGUUUAAAGUUGUUAUAAUUAUUUUAUCAAACAUAUUUAAUCUAUUCAAUAAUUUAAAUUAAAUUAUUAAGUUAUUUUAAGUCAUUAAAUUAGUUUACUAAACACCCUUUAAGAAUGAGAUUUUCUAAUGAGGAAUAAUUAAGUUCUAGCUAUUAAAUGCAAGAUUUUGAGUUGAGUAGAAAUGAAAAUGCAGCCAAACACUCCGAUAAAAGUUCCAUUGUACUAGAGAUGCACUUACUUCAUUACACUUGUCUUGUGAAGCUGAGGAUGAAAUUUUGAGCGUGGAAUCCUUGCAAUUCAACCUUGGUCCUAUUAGGAAUGCAACAAAUAACUUUUCUGAUUCUAAUAAGCUUGGACAAGGAGGAUUUGGAGCUGUUUACAAGGUAAUUAAACAUACCAUUAUAUGAAAAAAUAAUAACAAUCUUAACUCAAGCAAUUAAAUUUCUUUAAGAGUUUAUUUUAAGUGUCUUAAAUAUAAUAGUUUGUUAUGAUAUAUUUCAGGGUACACUUUCCAAUGGACANNNNNNNNNNNNNNNNNNNNNNNNNNNNNNNNNNNNNNNNNNNNNNNNNNNNNNNNNNNNNNNNNNNNNNNNNNNNNNNNNNNNNNNNNNNNNNNNNNNNNNNNNNNNNNNNNNNNNNNNNNNNNNNNNNNNNNNNNNNNNNNNNNNNNNNNNNNNNNNNNNNNNNNNNNNNNNNNNNNNNNNNNNNNNNNNNNNNNNNNNNNNNNNNNNNNNNNNNNNNNNNNNNNNNNNNNNNNNNNNNNNNNNNNNNNNNNNNNNNNNNNNNNNNNNNNNNNNNNNNNNNNNNNNNNNNNNNNNNNNNNNNNNNNNNNNNNNNNNNNNNNNNNNNNNNNNNNNNNNNNNNNNNNNNNNNNNNNNNNNNNNNNNNNNNNNNNNNNNNNNNNNNNNNNNNNNNNNNNNNNNNNNNNNNNNNNNNNNNNNNNNNNNNNNNNNNNNNNNNNNNNNNNNNNNNNNNNNNNNNNNNNNNNNNNNNNNNNNNNNNNNNNNNNNNNNNNNNNNNNNNNNNNNNNNNNNNNNNNNNNNNNNNNNNNNNNNNNNNNNNNNNNNNNNNNNNNNNNNNNNNNNNNNNNNNNNNNNNNNNNNNNNNNNNNNNNNNNNNNNNNNNNNNNNNNNNNNNNNNNNNNNNNNNNNNNNNNNNNNNNNNNNNNNNNNNNNNNNNNNNNNNNNNNNNNNNNNNNNNNNNNNNNNNNNNNNNNNNNNNNNNNNNNNNNNNUUUGUUUUCUUUGUUCCAGAUCAAUUUCUAUGACCCCAUUUAUUUUGCAUAUCAAAUCGAUCUUGAUUUUUGCUUUCUUGAAUACUCAUGUGUGAUAUCCCAAACGUCAUCAUUGUUCAAGGAUUAAGAUAAGAAGUUUUGCUUGGGAAUGCUCCAAAGUUUUUAUUGAUCUAGAUAUGUAGUGAUUUGAAUUUAAAAACUGCCCACUGAUGAUGCAAAGUUGUUAAUGCCAGCAAGAGUGCACGUUGACUGGUCGAUUUCCUGGCGUGCCUUCAACCACAUCUGUCCCAAUUAACUCAUUUACAAACAGCAUACUUGACCGACAUUACCGCAGAUAUCUAUUCUUCCAAGUUAUGGUAGUUUAUUCUUAUCCUCCUGUGGAAAAUUGAUAAGCCAAAGUUUUGGCUGGUGUGCGGCCACUCCUGCCCCUAUCAGCUUGUUCAAAACGCGUCUUUGAUCACUCCACUCGAAACCAAACCUUGUCUGAUUUCAUCAAUUUUAUUAAUUAAAUCUUAGCACUUUGAUUGAUUAAAUAUGAGAGGUAGCCACUGGGGGUAGGAAUCAAGGAAAGUAGGAGGACAAUUUUGAAGAAAAAAAUUAAAUAAAAAUUGUGAAUCUAUUGUAUAGGUGUGGGGGGUGGGGGGAUGUGUGGGGGAUGAGAGUAGGACUUUGGUGGGUGAAAUCUAGAAAUUCGAGUGAUGAUUUUCUUAAAAACUUCUAUGGAAAGAGGUGAAAAGGAUAUUCAAUCGAUUUGAUAAAGCCAAAGUCUUUUGAUUCCUGAAACUCCAUGGAUCCGACCUGGUGUUAAUGGUGCAUGUAUGUGAAUGAGAAUGUCAGCUUUUGGUUCAGCAAAGACGUGUCAAACUUGUCCACAUGAUUUUCUAUUUCACAAAACCAGUCACUGGGUACAGUCGAAUGAUGCAGCUCAUUCCAACCCUACAUCAAAGAAAAGAGAUGUUCCCUUGGUGCCAUCCACCAAAGGUACCACCAUAAAUCCCCACCUGAUCAUUGGGAUGCUUGCACCGACAAAGCUUGUGUUUCUUGACUUGGAAUUUAGCUAAAAGGCUACAAACACCGUCAUAACUGACCCAAAAAAGUCAACGAACACUACUAUAUAAAGGGCGAGCCAACCUGUUGUAAAAGAGACGAUGAGAAACACAAAGUUUAUCAGGAAAUAUCGAUUCCAAAUUUGGCGUGGUCCGUGGGAAUGUCUAAGCCUUGCUUAGCUUGAACAAGAAGCCAUCGUGAAAAAUUGAAAGUGAAGUUGAAUCUUUCUAGGGAAGUCUCCCUUUAUUUCUUUCCCUUAGAAAAAUUUUCUUUUCAAUUAUUUAUGUCUUGCACGAUAUUCAAGAAAGAACAAGCUUUGAAGCUUCAGAAAUAUGGGAUUCAAGAAAAUCAAAUACAAAUUGAAAUAGCAUAUUGUAGACCCUCCAUUUUGUCCCUUUAGUACAUGUCUUUAAGUUUACUUCCAGUGUUCCAUAGUGUUUCUUUGAUGGCCCAUUACUACUCGUGUAACUUACCUUUUCUGAGCCACUUUGGAGACUUUGGUUGAGGGGUUUAUCUAGUUCCACAUUAUGACCUUGGUUGUCUUUCAAGUUUAGAUUAGGCUUCACUUAGGUGCACUUUAGGUUAGACUUAGUUAGGUCCACCUAGUCUCACCCUAGGCCUGUAUAGGUAUACCCGGCUCAUUAGGCACUACCUUAGGCCCAUUUGGGCACACUUGACCCAUUAGACAUUCUUAGCGUGACUUGUUUGGUUGCAUGUCUCAUUUAUCUCAUUUAUUUAUUUAUUUUUAUUUUUUAUUAUUAUUGUCAAUCACUUUUAUUUAUUUAGUUAUUUUAUUUUAUUUAUUUGUUCGUUAUCUUGUUAUUUAUUCAUUAAUCUAUUAUUAUUAUUUUAUCAUUCCCUGACUUAUUUAUUAUUUUAUUUAUUUAUCUUUUAUUCAUUUAUUUAAUUUAAUAAUUUGAAGUUUUUUUUAUAGGAAAAUCUACCAAUGGAGCAGUUUUUGAAGAAGGUAAGACUCUUUACGUGAGACGGAGAGUUAGAAGGGAGGAAGACUCCUUAGAGGGAAAGACUUCAAAUUGCUAUAAAAAGCUCUAGUAGAUGGGUGUAGAGGCUACAAGAAGAGAUAUAAGAAAAAAAAAAGUAUUUCAAGGAGAGAUUUUUUUUUUAGGACGCGAAGAAGAAAAUGAGAAGGGGUGACUUCUUGGAUGGUUUUCAGAGGAAGAGGAGGGAAGCAUGCAAAGCGGAGAAAGAGAGAUCUGAGACCACACACGAGUGGGGAUUUUCCUGCUGGAAGGAGGGCUUUGCCAAGUACUUUUGUUAUAGACUCCUUCAUCCCUAUUAUCUUCUUAUUAUAAAUUAAUCUUCACUAAAUUUUGAGUUUCCUUGAUGCUUGGGUUUAGAAGGACAGAGGUUGUACGUUUGUUGGCUUUGGUGCUAGAUUGCUUAUAUGGUUCUUGUUGUUAGCUUUCAUUUUCUUUGAAGUUCCUUAAUUUUGGUUUGAGAAUGAAAGGUUCUUUUUUUAUUAUUAUUUAUUGUGCUUUACAUGAGAAUCGUGGUUAUCUUUGUUUGCUUGAAUCUGCUUGUACUUCUCUCACCAUUCCAAGCCCAUUGAAUAAGCAUGAAAUGUGGCAUUACUGUGUUCUUGUUUUUACUUGUUCUUUUUUUCUCCUUUCUGUUUCAUUCCUUUCUUGUUUCUGCACCUUCCCCUGUUUUUCUUCUUCUGGCGAUCCAUUGAAAAUGCCAACCUAGCCUCCUUGCUUAAGGCGGUCAUCCCUAUGGUUAUCUACGGCUACAAAGAUCAAGUAGAAUAGGGAUGUGAAUUUUGAGCUUCAAACUCUCCCACUUGCCAAUCUGGGAACAUAUGUGGUAAUGGAGUUCUACUAGAGUCAAAUCUUCAGAAACAACAAUAGCAAGGCUUUCCUCAUGACGAGAAAAAACAUUGACGCACAUCAGGGGAUGAUUCAUGAUCCGAAAAAGUUGAUCACUGAUGAUUGGACUGCUCAAAAGACGUAGAGUUUUUUGAUAAAGAUGAGAAUGUUUUCUACUUAAAUGAGAAUGUUAAGAUAUGGACUCACACAUAUUUAACAAUGGUUCAUGACUAAGCUAUUCGCUUUUUUGUAUUUGUUUUGUAUCGGUUUUCUACAGUAUGGGCCACCUUAUGUGUAGAGCCCAGUGCCAUAAUGGGUCUUAGAUGAUAGGCCUAAGACUCGCGAGGCCCAAUAGUCCAAAGGGUAUGGUCCUUAAGGCAUAAAGGGUAUAAAUAUAAGGAAAAAUGUUUCUUCUUAUAUCACAUCUUUUUUAAUAGAAUUGAACUCAUUCUCUCCCACUCCCAUUGCCUGAGAGAAUACAGAGUAAGGUGGUGCCCUCUACAGCCUUAGAAGAUCCGUACCUCUUCAUCAAGCGCAUAAUGGACUCAGGUAUGUUCCAAAGUGGAAGAAGGCAUGUUUUAAAUGAAUUGAUAUAUAUAUAUAUAUAUAUAUAUAUAUAUAUACAUAUAUCCUGUAUCUGUGUUUGGGUGAUCAUGGAGAAUUUAAAAGAUUCAUACAAUUGGUAUCAAAGCAUUUUUGUGGUUCCCAUUUUCACCAAAACACUUUUUUUAAAAACACAAACAAAAGAUCCAAGGAAAACAACAGAAAAUCUGGGCCAAUAAAAUAAUUAAAAAAUGGGUAUUGAACCCGAUGUGAUCUGGAGUCAGACACGCUACGAGUGACAGGGGUGAUGCUAGCGAUGCCAAUGAGGGGUGCAGUUUCGACACCUGUUUGGUGGUCGGAAAAGGCGUUGUUUCAAGCAUUCAAGUUGGCGUCCUCCGUUUAGGGCGCCAUUACAGGCGUUUAAAAGACGUCAUUCAAGCGUUCAAAAGGACGCCGUUCAGGCGCCAUCUGACACCGUUGAGAAGCACACAACGUCGCUAAAACGACUACAUUUUUUGGGCACUGCAGGCACUAUUAGGAUGUUGUUCAAGGUGCCAUUCAAGCGUUCAAAAAAAAAAAAAAAAUACCAUUUUCAAGCGUCGUUCAAGACAACGUUCAGGCGUCAUUCCAGGUGCCAUUUAAGACGAUGUUCAGGCGUCGUUCCAAACAUCGUUUAGGCAUUCAUCCCAGAUGCGGUUCAGGUGCGGUUCAAGCGACGUUCAGGUGCCAUCUCACGUCGGUGAAAAACACCAUUUUCAGGCGUUGUUGCAGGCUCCUUGUGACGCCGCUCUCGGCGUCAUUGGCAAACGGAGAAGAUGACCUCUAUCUUGGGGUAGUUUGGCGGCGUCGCACCGCUACUGGCGAUGUUGGACGAUUGCACCAACGCCGUUUUGACGCCAUGGAUGACACGGCUGCAGGUGACCUCGGGUCGUUUGGGGUGCAGUGAAUAAAGAAUAAUAAAAAAUAAAAAAUUAGGCCAAAGCCCAAUAGUCCAUGACCAUUCCCUUUAAAAAAUAUUGGGCUAAAAACACCCUUGAACCUUACCACGAGGGGCGUUGCCCCCCGCACCCCCCCAACCUAUCGUUCGCCCACAAAAAAAAAAAAAAAAAAAAAAAAAAUACAAGCUUAAAUGGCAAAUGUCAUCACUCCGCUUAGCUCCAUAAUUUGCCCAUUUUUCUCCCAUCAAUUGGUAUCAAGGCUUGUAUAAAUAUACAUGGUUUUAUGCAUCAAUUAAUAUACUUAUAUACAUGGGUUUAUGCAUAAAUAAAUAAAUAAAUAAAUAAUUUUAAUUAAAUUAUUUCUUGUUAUAUUUGUGUUUAAUAUUUUAAAAUAAAUGAAUUAUGUAUAUUUGUUGCCAAAGUGACCUAUAUUAUAUAAUUUAUUUAUUUUAUAAUAUGUAAACAUGUUAUUAUUAUUAUAUAAAAUAAUCAGCCCAAAGGAAGAUUAUUUUAAUGUAAUAAUAAAUAAAGUAUUCAUAAAUAUCCGACAUAUUAAGUAUAUCUUGUAUGUUGUAUGUCAAUCCAAAGACAAGCAUAUUGCUUCGGUUUUAUUGUCAAUAUUUAUGAAUUAAUUUUGAAAAUGAUACCAAUUACAAGUUGAUAUUUUUGUCCAAAGACUUAAUAUUAAUGUUUGUGCUAGGUAUUUUGUAUGAUGUUUAUUUAUUCAUGUGUGUAUGAUGUUUAUGUGACUGAUUGUGAGCUUUAUUAUUAUGAAUUCAACAUCUUCUAUAUCUGCAAAUGUUAAUAACAUUCCUGUGCUUAAUGACACAACUCAAGAAAUGGAAGAAGCACGUUAUAAUUGUGCUUGGGUGCAUGGAUUUAGAUUAUGCAUUAAGAAAUAAUCACCCUCCAGACCUUACUAGUGCCAGCACUAUCGAGCAAAGGUCUACUAUGAAAAAAUGAGAGCGAUCCAAACGCAUGAGUCUAAUAUAAUGAAACACUCAAUUCCAGAAGCUAUAAGGGGUGCAAUACCUGAGGAAACCCAAGCUAAGACAUUCUUGGACCAUAUAGCAAACUGAUUCGCUGCAAACGAAAAAGGUUGAGACAAACACUAUUCUUAGUAAGUUUGUCUUCAUGCGGUACAAAGGAAAAGAGAAUAUAAGGGAAUACAUUAUGGAAAUGUCUAAUCUUGUGACUAGACACAAGACACUAAAGUUAGAAUUGUUGAAAGACAUACUCGUGCACUUGGUCUUGAUCUCUCUGCUUACACAAUUCAAUCCAUUCAAAAUCAGUUACAACACACAAAAGAAAAAAUGGACUUUGAAUGAGCUUACUGAUCAGUGUGUACAAGAGGAUGAGAGAUUGAAACAAGAAAAUAUAGAAAGUGCUCACUUGGCUUCCACAUCUUAGGGAUUUGGUACCGGCAAGAAAAGAAAGAGGGACAAUAAAGGAAAACAAACUGCAUUUUUUGGAACAUCAAAGCAAAAAGUGCAAAAGAAACAAGAUAAGGAGAUCACUUGUUUCUUUUGCAAGAAGGUUGGUCAUAUGAAGAAGACAUAUACCAAAUACGCUGCUUGGCAUGAAAAGAAAAGUACACUUCUCAACUUUGUUUGUUCAUAAAUUAAUUUAGCUAUAGUGCCUACUGACACUUGGUGGAUAGAUACGGGUGCAACUACUCACAUAAAUGUCACGAUGCAGGGUUGCCUAAGGAGCCGAAUGCCAACUGAUGGUGAAAGAUACAUCUAUGUGGGAAAUGGCAACAAGGCUGCAAUCAAGGCUAUUGGUCUUUUUAGAUUACAGUUAGACUCUGGAUGUACUUUGGAUUUGGAAGAGACUUUUGUAGUACCGUCGUUUAAACGAAAUUUAAUUUUUGUUUCAUGUCUGGACAAGUUUGGAUAUUAUUGUUCAUUUAGAAAUGGAAUUGUUAGUCUUUAUCUAAAUUCAAAUGUUAUUGGUACAGGUAGUCUAACAGACAAAUUAUACAAAUUGAAUAUAAAGGCCUCUAAUGGAAAUGAAACCUUGCAUUCAAGUACUUAUGGCAUUCAGCAAAAAUUAGCAAAUGAGAAUUCAUCAAUGUUAUGGCACAGGCGUUUGGGUCAUAUUUCAAAUCAACGUAUUCAAAGGCUUGUGUCAGAAGGAAUUCUUGAUCCACUUGAUUUCUUAGACUUUCAAGUCUGUAUACAGUGUAUUAAGGGUAAACAAACAAAUAUGAGGAAAAAUGAUGCCAACAGGUGCGGUGACGUAUUGGAAUUGAUACAUACGGACAUUUGUGGUCCAUUUCCUACUUCUUUUUGGAAUAGACAACAAUAUUUUAUCACUUUAAUUGACGAUUUCUCACGCUAUGACUAUCUUUAUUUGAUUCAUGAGAAGUCUCAGUCAUUGGAUAUGUUCAAGAAUUUUAAAGCUGAAGUUGAGAACCAACUAAGCAAGAAAAUAAAGGUCGUCAGAUCUGACCAUAGAGGUGAAUAUUAUGGUAGAUAUGACGGAUCCGGUGAACAACGUCCAGGGCCAUUCGCCAAAUAUUUGAUAGAGUGUGGUAUCAUUCCUUAAUACACCAUGUCGGGGACUCUAAGCCAAAAUGGUGUAGUAGAGAGGUGAAACCGUACUCUUAAGGAUAUGGUGAGAAGUAUGAUCAGUCAUUCCACCUUACCAGAAUCACUUUGGGGCGAAGCUAUCAAAACUGUGGUUUAUAUUUUGAACAAAGUCCCAAGCAAAGCAGUAGCCAAAACCCCAUAUGAGUUAUGGAUUGGCAAGAAACCUAGAAUUAAGCAUUUGCAUGUCUGGGGUUGUCCAGCUAAGGCUAGGCCUUACAAGCCAAAUGAAAAGAAAUUGGACUCCAGAAUAGUGAGUUGCUACUUUGUAGGGUAUUCUGAAAGGUCGAGAGGUUUCAAAUUUUAUAAUCCCUCAACUAGAUCCUUCUUUGAAACGAGCAAUGCUAAAUUUAUUGAGGAUGUUGAGUUAAGUGGGAGAGAACCAUUAAGAAAGGUGGUCUUUGAAGAGGAAUCUGUUAGUAUUCUAUUAUUACAACUGGACAUGGUCAUAUUAUGUUUGAUGAAACUAUCCAGAAUGUACAACCAAUAACAAAGAUUGUGGACACGCUUGAGAUUCCUCCUACUCAAGUUAUGAAACCUGUUCAAGUUCAUGAAGAGGUAACUCAACAACCUCAAGAACCUCAAGUACAAGUGCCAUUGAGGAGAUCCACUAGAGAAAGAAAAAGUACAAUUUCAGACUAUUAUGUUGUAUAUCUCCAGGAACAUGAGUUUGACAUGGGUCUGGAAGACGAUCCAAUUUCAGUUAGUCAAGUCAAACAAAGUUCUGACUCUGAAAAGUGGAUAGAAGCCAUGACGGAUAAGAUGAAAUCAAUGAAAGACAAUGGUGUUUGGGACCUAGUAGAGUUGCCUAAAGGUGUAAAACCGAUUGGUUGUAAAUGGAUUUUUAAGACCAAGCGGGAUUCAAAAGACACCAUUGUUAGGUAUAAGGCAUGCCUAGUCGCAAAAGGUUUCACUCAAAAGGAAGGCAUUGAUUAUAAGGAGACCUUUUCACUGGUUUCGUCAAAGGACUCCUUUAGAAUCAUCAUGGCACUUUUAGCUCAUUAUGAUUUAGAGCUGCAUCAAAUGGACAUUAAAACUGCAUUUCUUAAUGGUAACAUUGAUGAGACAAUAUACAUGGUGCAACCGGAGAACUUUGAGUCUAAUGAUUCAAAGCAACUUGUAUGCAGAUUAAAAAAGUCCAUAUAUGGUUUAAAGCAGGCAUCCCGACAAUGGUACCGAAAGUUUGAUCAAGUGAUUAAUUCAUUUGGUUUUAAAGAGAACACCGUUGAUCAAUGCAAAUAUCUCAAGUUCAGUGGGAGAAAAUUCAUUAUCUUGGUGCUAUAUGUUGAUAAUAUUCUGCUUGCUAGUAGUGAUGUGGAACUUUUGAAUGAAACCAAGCGAUUUUUAUCUAGUAAAUUUAACAUGAAGGAUCUUAGUAAUACAUCUUUUGUGUUGGGUAUAUAGAUCUAUAGGGAUCAUUCAAAAGGUAUACUUGGGCUAUCACAAAAGGCCUACAUUGAUAAGGUGUUGAAUAGAUUUGGCAUGAGCAAUUGUGCACCAGGAGACACACCUGUGGCAAAUGACAAUAAAUUUAGUUUGCACCAAUGUCCGAAAAAUGAACUUGAGAAGAAGGAUAUGGAAAGGUUUCCCUAUGCCUCGGCAGUAGGAAGUCUCAUGUAUGCACAAGUUUGUACGCGUCCGGAUAUUGCGUACAUUGUUGGAAUGUUAGGUAGAUAUUUGAGUAACCCAGGUAUGGAUCACUAGAAAAAGGCAAAACAGGUUAUGCGGUAUUUACAGAGAACUAAAGAUUAUAUGCUUACAUAUCAUAGAUCUAGUCAUUUGGAGAUUGUGGGAUAUUCGGACUCCGAUUUUGUGGGAUGUCUUGACAGUAGGAGAUCCACUUCAGGUUACAUCUUCAUGUUGGCUGGAGGAGCAGUUUCAUGGAAAAGUGUUAAACAAACACUUAUUGCUUCUUCCACCAUGGAGGUAGAAUUCAUAGCCUUCUACGAGACAUCAAACCAUGGGAUAUGGUUGCAGAAUUUCAUCACUCAAUUAAUGGGAUUGAGAAACCAUUGAGAAUCAAUUGUGAUAAUAAGGCCGUAGAAUUGUAUUCUAAGAACAACUGAAGUUCUUCAAAGUCCAAACACAUUGACAUUAAGUUCUUGGUUGUGAAAGAAAGAGUUUAGAGUCUUCAAGUAUCAAUUGAACACAUAAGCACAAACUCCAUGGUUGCAGAUCCGCUCACUAAAGGUUUACCACCCAAAGUAUAUCAUGAACAUGUCACACAUAUGGGUGUUGUACACAUUGAUGAUGUGCUAGUAUAGUGGGAGUUUGUAUUUGUUUUCUUGAUGUGAUAUUAUGUUUAUGUUAUUUGUACAGACCUUGAUUUUAAAGACUACUGUAUUUGAAUACUCUAAAUUGAAAUGAUGACUUUCAAAAGCAGUUUAACAUCAAGUGUUGAAAGUGGAAUUUGACUAUUUUUUAGUCAUAAAGUAGGACCAAUUGGAAAUAGACAUAUUAAAGAUCACAUUCUAUGUAAUUUCCAUGCUACACAUCCAUACUUGAUCUAUGUUGCUAAUUUUGUUAAUGUUGUGAUCAUUGAUGGGUAUAGUUAUAAUUAUGAUUAACAAAGGCCGCUUUGAUCCUGUGUUAGCAUAAUUAGUAGACCGGAUUGUUUAAGAAUAUUUAGAUAGAAUAGCAAGAUGAGCUCAAUAAAGUACUAUCAUGAACAUUGUUUUGUAAUAUAUGUGGUCCAAGUGGGAGAUUGUUAAGAUAUGGACUCACAUAUAUUUAACAAUGGUUCAUGACUAAACUAUUCGCCUUUUCGUAUUUGUUUUGUAUUGGUUUUCUACAGUAUGGGCCACCUUAUGUGUAGAGCCCAAUGCUAUAACAAGUUUUAGAUGAUGGACCUAAAACUCGCGAGGCCCAAUAGUCUAAAGGGUAUGGUCCCUAAGGCAUAGAGGAUAUAAAUAUAAGGAAAAGUGUAUGUUCUUAUAUCACAUCUUUUUUAAUAGAAUUGAACCCAUUCUCUCCCGUUCCCAUUGCCUGAGAGAAUACAGAGUAAGGUGGUACCCUCUAUAGCCUUAGAAGAUCCGUACCUUUUCAUCAAGUGCAUAAUGGACUCGGGUAUGUUCCAAAGUGGAAAAGGACAUGUUUUAAAUGAAUUGAUAUAUAUAUAUAUAUAUAUCUUGUAUCUGUGUUUUGGUGAUCAUGGAGAAUUUAAAAGAUUCAAAUAGGGAAGUCAUCGACUUUUGCUUAAUGGAAUUGGAUAAAGGAGAAGAAACUUCAAGGAACUAGGGAGCAAUGUGUAUGGAAACUUUACGGCUUUUGCAAAGUUGCAGUUCCUAUAGAAUCAAAUGAGGCUUCAGGUUCAUUUUUCGAUUACGAAAAUGUGACACGAUAUAAUUAUAGUGCUAAGAAGGCAUGGCGUGUCAAUACAGAAUAGCAUUGUUUGAAACAAGGUCUGUCAGUGAUGAUAGUAAACCCGAGAAUAGCCUCACUUGUAUGCAAUUUCUGCAUACGUGAUUAUCUUUCGGCGUACCCCCACAUGUGCAUGCGUCACAAUAAGGCUAAAGAGAGACUGUUUCCAUGGAGGUGACGAAUUAAAUGACAUUCCCUCUAAUCAGCAGACCGCAUCCUUGUGACAAUGAAGGAUCUCUACAAUCUCAUGAUUGGAAGAUUCAGGAAGAAGCUUCAAAGGCAAUGAUGGUUCUGACUACGUAGCUCUAAAGGCGUCGGAUAUAAAAGCUGCAAAAAUGGGUUGGGUUCAUUUGAAAUGAGCCAUUUUAGUGGCAACAUGCUUUCUAGUUAAGGGUCAAGUUAUUCCGUACAGUUCGGAUCUAUUGAUAGAUGGGUGCAUGUAAGGGUCUCCAACAGGCUGGGCCGGGCCUUGGUAUAUCUAAGGCCCGUGGCCCAGCCCGUGGGCCCUCAAGCUGGGCUGGGCUGGCGGGCCGGGUUGCGGGCUGAGGUAAAAAUUUAAAUAAUUUUCAGUUUUGAAGGGAAGGGGAUUCAAACCCCUUCCCUUAUGGAACCACAAGGGAGCUAGCUACCAACUGAGCUGACCCUUUUUUGUGUAACUAUUUUGCAUUAGUUAUAUAUAUAUUAGAAAUGUUGUAUGAUUUUUGAAAAAAAAUAAAAGUGAGUUGGCGAGCCUACGGGCGGGCUAGCCCGCAGGCCGCGGGCUUUUUGGAGACCCUUAGGUGCAUGUGGCCCAAAUUCAUUACUGUUGGUGUAAUUAAAACCAUCUCGAUCUACCCAAGGGAUUUUGCACUCCGGGCCCUCUCUUUUGCAUGGCCACCAUCUGCCCCUCCUUUUAAUCCCGAGCCUCGGACAGAUAAACUUGUCAAGUGAGCUGCCAAUAUUAACCUAGAAAGAUGCAUAUGUUGAUAAAGUGGCUCAUUCCUUCAAAUACCUCAAACCAGAAAAUGAGUUCAUGUACUUCUGAUGGCGGUAGUUCAUUUCCACUAAAUUAACGAUCCUUGAAGACGCAUCCAACACAGCUCUGCCCAUGGUGAGGUUGAUCAGUUUGGUGCCAAUGAAAACUGCAACAUGGGUUCUGGCACAUUUAGGAAUGUGACAUGGAAAUCUGAUCUGUCACAGGUUUCUGGAAAUUAUGGAACUCAGAUUAGUGGUCGUCAUGGUGGGCAAGUUGGCUACGAUGGUUGAUAGGGUACUCGGUUUCCUUGGAUUCAGAGUGGCAAGAUAGAAAAGAACAUAGUGAUUGGCAAUGGCAUGGAUAAAGAAAGCUAUGAGAGGGUCGACAGGAUACUCCAACGAUUUUUCGGGCCUUCCAAAGACGAUAAGGGCUUACAGGCCCACCACAGGGCAAACUUAAAGGCCUGUAUACUAAGUUCGAGAAACAAGGCCUAAACUUGGGAGGCCCAGUUUGGUUCUCUUCAGACAUCUUAAAGCACCAGCCUAGAGAGACAAGGCUCCCUUUACCCCCAACUAAAUUUGCAGAAGGCCCAAUAGGUCUAUUCUCUAAGCGGUUGACCGGGCCAUUAAAACCCUCUCCAGUUACUUGGAGAAAGGAGACUUUAUCAUUGAUGGUAGCAACGAGCGGCAUGAGAACACUGAGAGGAGAGAGAAAGCCAUGGUUGAACUGGGUCUGCUCUAUCUUGGCAUGGGAGUUUCAGGUGGUGAAGAGGGUGAUCGUCAUGGGCCAUCUUUGAUGCUUGGAGGUUCAUUUGAGGCUUACAAGUAUGUAGAAGAUACCCUUCUUAAAGUAGCUGCUCAAGUUCCUAAUAGUGGCCCCUGUGUGACUUACAUUGGCAAAGGAGGUUCUGGAAAUUUCGUUAAGAUGGUUUACCGUCUCUCUGAUCAGACUUCUCUUAUCGGCUCUGAUGACCGUCUUUCCGGCCGUCGUCGCCGCACUUCUAGAGUUUUCCACCUUGGUCGCUGGCGGCUGUCACUUCGUCUGAGAUAAUGGCCUCCUUCUACCCUCCGAAACUUCUAGGUUCUUCUGUCCCAGUGGUGAUGUUGACGAUGAUACCCACGAAUCUGCCGUGACCAGAUGGGUUGUUCUGAUAGCUGGGUCUAACGACUACUGGAAUUCCAGGUACCAGGCUGAUAUUUACCAUGCUUGUCAACUCUUGAAGGAAGGUGGAUUGAAAGAUGAAAACAUCAUUAUUUUCAUGUAUGAUGACAUCUCAUUCAAUGAAGAGAACCCUAGGCCUGGAAUUAUCAUAAACAGCCCACAUGGCGAAGAUGUUUAUGAAGGUGUACCAAAGGACUAUACUGGAGAAGAUGUUUUUGUUGAUAACUUUUUUGCUGUUAUCCUUGGCAACAAAACGGCUCUUUCAGGGAGUAGUGGGAAGAGUUCAUUCAUCAAUAAGAUCACUAGGGUUGAUGUGGAUCUUCAGCCCUAUGCAUUUACUACGAAGUCACUCUUUGUAGGUCACACAGACUAUAAAUACCUAAGAUACUAAGUGAUAGACACACUAGGGAUAUUGGGUCGGCCAUUUGAAGAUCGUAACAUUAUUGAGAUGUGUAGUAUCACAGCUUUGGCACACCUACGAGCUGCUGUCUUGUUUUUCUUGGACAUCUCAGGUUCAUGUGGGUACAGCAUUGCUGCACAGGCAGCUCUUUUUUUUCACAGCAUCAAGUCUAUGUUUAUGAACAAACCACUCAUCAUUAUCUGCAACAAGACUGACUUGCAGCCAUUGGAGGGUAUAUCAAAAGAAGACAUGAAGUUGGUCAUGCAGAUGAAAGUUGAAGCUAUGAAGACUGUCAUAGGUCAAGGAGGUGAUCCUUUGAAUGACGAAGGGGUGCUGUUGACCAUGAGUACUUUGAUUGAGGAGUGGGUGGUUUCAGUGAAAAACGCAGCUUGUGAGAGGUUAUUGGAUUAGAGGGUGGAACUGAAGAUGAAGUCUAAGAAGAUGAAUGACUGCUUGAAUCAGUUUCAUGUUGCAGUGCCAAAACCUUGAGACCAAAAGGAGUGGCCACCCUGUAUACCUCAGGCAGUUUUGGAAGGUAUGGCAAAGCAACCAGCAGCCGAAAAGGAAAAUAGGAAGCUUGAAAGGGAUUUGGAGGAAGAUAAUGGUGGUGCCAGUGUGUACUCUGCUAGUUGCCCUUAAUAAUGAUACAGAUGGCUUCAAUCCGCUUAUUCAACCACGACAAGUAAUCUUUGGGAUCAGUUCAUGCAAUUAAUGGUAAAUAUGCAGAGGAGCAGUAGGGUUGAAUAAUUCAACACCAAGUCAAGGAAUUCCUAGCAAGCCCCAUCCUCAAUUCAGGUAGUAAGUCAAGGAGACAUCCGCUUGUAGUCACAUUAUCAGUUCCCUUCUCGACUCGGGUCUGCAAUACUCAAGUAACGAGGACCUAGCAAUAGCUGCAAUCACCAGCAGUAGUCUCAAACUCACUCCCAGGUUCUAUCCCAGCAUGGCCACCUUGGUGCAUACCUCUUGCUCUUCCUAUUCCUCUAUUUGUUUCUUUGAUUGAGAAUUUACAAUUUUGAAUUGAAUUUUCAAAUCCAUCUUCAACUGAAAAAUUCCAGUUUUAAAAAUCCAUCUUUGCAUUUCUUCUAGGCAAUAAAUGCAUUCCAGUUUUAAACCUUCUCCUGAUUUACACUUCUCUAAUUAAGCUAAUCAAGUUAAUCAUUCUUCUCACAUUUUCGGACAACCUUAUCCUAUUUCUCUGUUUCUAACUGAGUUGACCACAACCCUUUAGCUCGUUAUUUCUAUUUUUUGAGUCUUUGAAAUACAUAAAUCCUGUGUAAGAAUUAAUUAAGUAGAUUGAAGAGCUCAUUGAUCCAUCUUACAAAUUAUGAACUCAAGGGUCGGAAAGAUGACGAUAAUGGAUCCUUCAAGAUUGCUUAUCUUCCUUUAUCAUUUCCUCACACUUCACCUUCUUGGUGUACCAGUCCUUGCUCAGCCAGACUUCCUUUACCACUUCUGCAUAGAGGGUGCUAGCAAUUACACAAGUAAUAGCACCUACAAGGCAAACCUCAACACCCUCAUCUCUUCUCUCCUAUCAGACAACGCAAUCGACUACGGCUUUUAUAAUUUCUCCGUCGGCCAAAACUCUGAAAGAGUCAACGCAAUUGGGCUUUGCAGAGGAGACGUUACACCAGAUGUGUGCCGGAGUUGUAUGUCUCAAUGACUCCAGGCUUCAACUCACUGAGCUUUGUCCCAAU